This 699-nucleotide ribosomal RNA is filed under the name uncultured bacterium. RNAcentral's name for it is "bacterial SSU rRNA". It matches the Rfam family "Bacterial small subunit ribosomal RNA", at positions 135 to 854 of the family's 1533-position model. The record is from RNAcentral.
ACACACGGAUAACAUACCGAAAGGUAUGCUAAUACGGGAUAAUAUAUUUGAGAGGCAUCUCUUAAAUAUCAAAGGUGAGCCAGUACAGGAUGGACCCGCGUCUGAUUAGCUAGUUGGUAAGGUAACGGCUUACCAAGGCAACGAUCAGUAGCCGACCUGAGAGGGUGAUCGGCCACAUUGGAACUGAGACACGGUCCAAACUCCUACGGGAGGCAGCAGUGGGGAAUAUUGCACAAUGGGCGAAAGCCUGAUGCAGCAACGCCGCGUGAGUGAUGAAGGCCUUCGGGUCGUAAAACUCUGUCCUCAAGGAAGAUAAUGACGGUACUUGAGGAGGAAGCCCCGGCUAACUACGUGCCAGCAGCCGCGGUAAUACGUAGGGGGCUAGCGUUAUCCGGAUUUACUGGGCGUAAAGGGUGCGUAGGCGGUCUUUCAAGUCAGGAGUGAAAGGCUACGGCUCAACCGUAGUAAGCUCUUGAAACUGGGAGACUUGUGUGCAGGAGAGGAGAGUGGAAUUCCUAGUGUAGCGGUGAAAUGCGUAGAUAUUAGGAGGAACACCAGUUGCGAAGGCGGCUCUCUGGACUGUAACUGACGCUGAGGCACGAAAGCGUAGGGAGCAAACAGGAUUAGAUACCCUGGUAGUCCACGCUGUAAACGAUGAGUACUAGGUGUCGGGGGUUACCCCCUUCGGUGCCGCAGCUA